This 497-nucleotide ribosomal RNA is filed under the name uncultured bacterium. RNAcentral's name for it is "partial 16S ribosomal RNA". It matches the Rfam family "Bacterial small subunit ribosomal RNA", at positions 28 to 507 of the family's 1533-position model. The record is from RNAcentral.
GAUGAACGCCGGCGGCGUGCCUAAUACAUGCAAGUCGAGCGAACGGACGAGAAGCUUGCUUCUCUGAUGUUAGCGGCGGACGGGUGAGUAACACGUGGAUAACCUACCUAUAAGACUGGGAUAACUUCGGGAAACCGGAGCUAAUACCGGAUAAUAUUUUGAACCGCAUGGUUCAAAAGUGAAAGACGGUCUUGCUGUCACUUAUAGAUGGAUCCGCGCUGCAUUAGCUAGUUGGUAAGGUAACGGCUUACCAAGGCAACGAUGCAUAGCCGACCUGAGAGGGUGAUCGGCCACACUGGAACUGAGACACGGUCCAGACUCCUGCGGGAGGCAGCAGUAGGGAAUCUUCCGCAAUGGGCGAAAGCCUGACGGAGCAACGCCGCGUGAGUGAUGAAGGUCUUCGGAUCGUAAAACUCUGUUAUUAGGGAAGAACAUAUGUGUAAGUAACUGUGCACAUCUUGACGGUACCUAAUCAGAAAGCCACGGCUAACUACGUG